UCAUUCAUUUAUUUAUGCUGACUCGGUAUUCCAGAGAUCUUACGGAAAGAGCUGCAAGGAAAAGUCAGUUCAAAGGUGAGCUCUAGACAAGGAACAGACAAUGGCAAAGCAAUUCAGAUGUUUUGGCUACUAUUUGCUUGAGAUGAAAUAUGAUCAUCUUGAAAGUCAUAAUCAAAAUGAGCAUUAAUCAAGAAGCUGACAAGAGAUAUUGAAAGUCAGAACAGACUGCGCAAAGUCCAGGAAGCUAUUACCUGAGGCUUUGGAAAGGGCACACAGGCAAUAGGCACAGACCCUGCAAAGCUCCGGAGCUGAGAUGUCUUCUUCCUAUUCAGAAACCCAGAAGUUAAGAAGGACCUGACCUCUGACACCAGAACAUACAGUCUAACACUCAUCUCUCUGGCUUCACCCUUUAGCUCUCCCUUGGAUGGACACUGUCACCUGCUUGAUGAGAAAAAUCAAUCUGUUUUCCAAUCUACACUUUGAACAUCUAAAUCUCUGUGUUUCCAAGAGCAUAAAGCAUGUUAGACUUUUUAAGGGUACUGAUUGUGUAGGAAAGUAUAGCUUCCAGAUUUCCUGUGUCAGCCCAGACACACCUUCAUUUUCCAAUGAUAUCCUUCAGAUUUUGGAUUCACACCAUAGCCUAGGAGAAAGGACAAGUUGACUUGGCCUUCUCCUCUUUAUUUUCUUGGCUGCCUCAUGUAGCUUUGAGAUUGAUGAUUGAUCGUUUUUCCACACUCACCCACAGCCUUUUCUGUAGCCACAUGCAAAUUUGCCAAUGGGUAAUUAAGCAGCAGACACAUCCAAUAAAUAUAAUAAAUAAAUUUGAUUUUCCCCCUCUUAGUAAUUGGUUUCAUCUGACUGAGUCUGAUGGUGUGUAGGAAUAUAUAAACAGGAUUAUGAAAGAGAAAAAUUAGUUGCUGGGUCAUAGGAAUUGUACAGCCUUAAGUACUGUGAAAUGUCUCUGUAAUGUCUAUGUUAUUCAUAGGGUUAAAAUAAAGAAAAGCAGGUUAUUCUUUCUCAAGAUGUUUCAGUGAAGUUAAAAAUAAAACGGAGUCAAGACUAUCACUGUAAGAAAAGGUUAACCAGCUACAGAACUUACUUUCCUUUCUUAAGUACCCUCUUCCCUCUAACUCACGCUGUUCUUUCCCUGGACCACCACUAAACUGGGACCACAGUCCCAGACCUUGACUGAGGUCUCCAACUUCUCACAUCAGACAGGGUUACAUGAAUAGAAAUGACUUGGUUAUACUAGAAGAAAGAGAGUGCAAAGAUAUUUGUGUAAAAUUACUGCCUGAGCAAGUGCUAAAAUGAAAUGAAAUUAAAUCACUUUUCCAAAACUCCCUACACACAAAGAAAAAAACAUUAUCUUUCAUUGUAAAGAGAGCACCCACUUCUAUUUCCAUUUGAUUUCUGGGAUAUCAUUUUGACAUCAGAUUGCUCUUGCCUCCAGAGGUACAGUACCUUGUCUCUGGAAUCACG
Long non-coding RNA from Mesocricetus auratus (golden hamster), 1479 nucleotides. RefSeq lists it as uncharacterized. Lineage: Eukaryota; Metazoa; Chordata; Mammalia; Rodentia; Cricetidae. The transcript has 4 exons. The record is from RefSeq and is a predicted model, not a curated record.